Monodelphis domestica (gray short-tailed opossum) is the source of this 905-nucleotide long non-coding RNA. RefSeq lists it as uncharacterized. Lineage: Eukaryota; Metazoa; Chordata; Mammalia; Didelphimorphia; Didelphidae. The record is from RefSeq and is a predicted model, not a curated record.
AACUGCCAGAGACCAACUACCAACUGCCAGAGAGAGUAAUUGACACAGAAAAAUGGUUAUAACUGUCAACAAUUGACAUUAACAUGCUCUCUCACCUCUGCUUCAAACUCCAAUUCUUUUUCAAGCCAGCCACUCUACCUCUAGACUAAUAAAUUAAUAAUUAUUUUCUAAUAUCAUCCUUAUAUAUCCAAAAGGUCCCAUGACUCCUGGUCUCUGGAGGACCCUUGGUUCUUGCCCAGAGUGACUGGAGGGGCUUUGGAAAGUGGCAUCACUAAAAGCAUAAAUUUGAGUCCUGAGAGGAAAAGGGGCAUUUUUUCCUGGGAAUCCAGAGGGAGAAGAUGAGAAAGCCGAAACCUGGAAAAAUCAAAGGACUUUCCUCAGUCUCUACUCAGUUCUACAGAGCUGCGACUUGGACUUGGGUCUCCUGACUUCCAGUUCUAUAUUUUCCAUCACAUACUAUUUGACUUCAGCCCUGAAUGUUUUUCAGAGUCCUUGUCAAGAAUGUUUCAGCCAAACCACACAGAAAUGAAACAAGAAGCCAACUUUGAAGGAUCAGAGAAAUUUUUGGAGGACUUUUGAUAUCUUUAACAACACUUGCUUCAGUUGAUCUGAUUGGAACCAAUUCAAAUGAACUGUGAGAUCUAAAAGUGGAAUGCCUUAAAAGAAGUUUUGUUAAUGCUUUUUGUUUUGGACACCACAGUAAUUUCCUGAUAUUUCUCCAUCCUCCCAGCCCCAAGGGAUGCUGGGAUGGCAUCUGACCACUUUUGCAGCACUUUGGAACCUCCAUUCCUGAGGAGUAGGAGUGUCGAGGGUACAUGUCAGUGAAUGUAACUGAUGACUUGUUCUCCAGAAUAAGAUGGAUCAUUACAUUUAAGAGUUCUGCUAUUAAAGGUUGUUUUUAUUUA